UACUCCUACGGGAGGCAGCAGUGGGGAAUUUUGGACAAUGGGCGCAAGCCUGAUCCAGCCAUGCCGCGUGCGGGAAGAAGGCCUUCGGGUUGUAAACCGCUUUUGUCAGGGAAGAAAUCCUUUGGGUUAAUACCUCGGAGGGAUGACGGUACCUGAAGAAUAAGCACCGGCUAACUACGUGCCAGCAGCCGCGGUAAUACGUAGGGUGCGAGCGUUAAUCGGAAUUACUGGGCGUAAAGCGUGCGCAGGCGGUCUUGCAAGACAGGUGUGAAAUCCCCGGGCUUAACCUGGGAACUGCACUUGUGACUGUAUAGCUAGAGUACGGUAGAGGGGGAUGGAAUUCCGCGUGUAGCAGUGAAAUGCGUAGAUAUGCGGAGGAACACCGAUGGCGAAGGCAAUCCCCUGGACCUGUACUGACGCUCAUGCACGAAAGCGUGGGGAGCAAACAGGAUUAGAUACCCUGGUAGUCCACGCCCUAAACGAUGUCAACUGGUUGUUGGGUCUUCACUGACUCAGUAACGAAGCUAACGCGUGAAGUUGACCGCCUGGGGAGUACGGCCGCAAGGUUGAAACUCAAAUGAAUGACGG
RNAcentral lists this ribosomal RNA (588 nucleotides) under uncultured Aquabacterium sp. RNAcentral's name for it is "bacterial SSU rRNA". It matches the Rfam family "Bacterial small subunit ribosomal RNA", at positions 334 to 916 of the family's 1533-position model. The record is from RNAcentral. Lineage: Bacteria; Pseudomonadati; Pseudomonadota; Betaproteobacteria; Burkholderiales; Sphaerotilaceae.